CCUACGGGUGGCAGCAGUGGGGAAUAUUGCACAAUGGGGGAAACCCUGAUGCAGCGACGCCGCGUGAGUGAAGAAGUAAUUCGUUAUGUAAAGCUCUAUCAGCAGGGAAGAAAAUGACGGUACCUGACUAAGAAGCCCCGGCUAACUACGUGCCAGCAGCCGCGGUCAUACGUAGGGGGCAAGCGUUAUCCGGAUUUACUGGGUGUAAAGGGAGCGUAGACGGCAGAGCAAGUCUGGAGUGAAAGGUGGGGGCCCAACCCCGGGACUGCUGUGGAAACUGUUAGGCUGGAGUGCAGGAGAGGUAAGUGGAAUUCCUAGUGUAGCGGUGAAAUGCGUAGAUAUUAGGAGGAACACCAGUGGCGAAGGCGGCUUACUGGACUGUAACUGACGUUGAGGCUCGAAAGCGUGGGGAGCAAACAGGAUUAGAUACCCCAGUAGUC
RNAcentral lists this ribosomal RNA (440 nucleotides) under uncultured bacterium. RNAcentral describes it as "partial 16S ribosomal RNA". It matches the Rfam family "Bacterial small subunit ribosomal RNA", at positions 338 to 795 of the family's 1533-position model. The record is from RNAcentral.